This 253-nucleotide ribosomal RNA is filed under the name uncultured bacterium. Its description in RNAcentral is "partial 16S ribosomal RNA". It matches the Rfam family "Bacterial small subunit ribosomal RNA", at positions 524 to 776 of the family's 1533-position model. The record is from RNAcentral.
UACGUAGGGGGCGAGCGUUGUCCGGAAUCAUUGGGCGUAAAGAGCGUGUAGGUGGCUUGGAAAGUCUUACGUGAAAGCCUGCGGCUCAACCGCAGAAGUGCGUAGGAAACUUCCUCGCUAGAGUCCGGAAGAGGAGAGCGGAAUUCCUGGUGUAGCGGUGGAAUGCGCAGAUAUCAGGAGGAACACCCGUGGCGAAGGCGGCUCUCUGGGGCGGUACUGACACUGAGACGCGAAAGCGUGGGGAGCGAACAGG